UUUAUAUGGGUCAAUAGGCCUCGGGUGUUUACCACUGUGGUGAUACGCAAGUUGGCGAUAUCACCGGGUGAAAAACUCCGGAGGCCUAGUCCUAUUUC
Molecule: microRNA precursor, 98 nt
Filed under: Caenorhabditis japonica
Lineage: Eukaryota; Metazoa; Nematoda; Chromadorea; Rhabditida; Rhabditidae
Description: mir-36 microRNA precursor family
Rfam family: mir-36 microRNA precursor family
Source: Rfam by way of RNAcentral